Molecule: ribosomal RNA, 1465 nt
Filed under: uncultured organism
Description: 16S ribosomal RNA
Rfam family: Bacterial small subunit ribosomal RNA
Source: RNAcentral
GGCGUGCCUAAUACAUGCAAGUCGAGCGAACAGACGAGGAGCUUGCUCCUUUGACGUUAGCGGCGGACGGGUGAGUAACACGUGGAUAACCUACCUAUAAGACUGGGAUAACUUCGGGAAACCGGAGCUAAUACCGGAUAACAUGUUGAACCGCAUGGUUCAACAGUGAAAGACGGUCUUGCUGUCACUUAUAGAUGGAUCCGCGCCGCAUUAGCUAGUUGGUAAGGUAACGGCUUACCAAGGCAACGAUGCGUAGCCGACCUGAGAGGGUGAUCGGCCACACUGGAACUGAGACACGGUCCAGACUCCUACGGGAGGCAGCAGUAGGGAAUCUUCCGCAAUGGGCGAAAGCCUGACGGAGCAACGCCGCGUGAGUGAAGAAGGUCUUCGGAUCGUAAAACUCUGUUAUUAGGGAAGAACAAAUGUGUAAGUAACUAUGCACGUCUUGACGGUACCUAAUCAGAAAGCCACGGCUAACUACGUGCCAGCAGCCGCGGUAAUACGUAGGUGGCAAGCGUUAUCCGGAAUUAUUGGGCGUAAAGCGCGCGUAGGCGGUUUUUUAAGUCUGAUGUGAAAGCCCACGGCUCAACCGUGGAGGGUCAUUGGAAACUGGAAAACUUGAGUGCAGAAGAGGAAAGUGGAAUUCCAUGUGUAGCGGUGAAAUGCGCAGAGAUAUGGAGGAACACCAGUGGCGAAGGCGACUUUCUGGUCUGUAACUGACGCUGAUGUGCGAAAGCGUGGGGAUCAAACAGGAUUAGAUACCCUGGUAGUCCACGCCGUAAACGAUGAGUGCUAAGUGUUAGGGGGUUUCCGCCCCUUAGUGCUGCAGCUAACGCAUUAAGCACUCCGCCUGGGGAGUACGACCGCAAGGUUGAAACUCAAAGGAAUUGACGGGGACCCGUACAAGCGGUGGAGCAUGUGGUUUAAUUCGAAGCAACGCGAAGAACCUUACCAAAUCUUGACAUCCUCUGACCCCUCUAGAGAUAGAGUUUUCCCCUUCGGGGGACAGAGUGACAGGUGGUGCAUGGUUGUCGUCAGCUCGUGUCGUGAGAUGUUGGGUUAAGUCCCGCAACGAGCGCAACCCUUAAGCUUAGUUGCCAUCAUUAAGUUGGGCACUCUAAGUUGACUGCCGGUGACAAACCGGAGGAAGGUGGGGAUGACGUCAAAUCAUCAUGCCCCUUAUGAUUUGGGCUACACACGUGCUACAAUGGACAAUACAAAGGGUAGCGAAACCGCGAGGUCAAGCAAAUCCCAUAAAGUUGUUCUCAGUUCGGAUUGUAGUCUGCAACUCGACUACAUGAAGCUGGAAUCGCUAGUAAUCGUGGAUCAGCAUGCUACGGUGAAUACGUUCCCGGGUCUUGUACACACCGCCCGUCACACCACGAGAGUUUGUAACACCCGAAGCCGGUGGAGUAACCUUUUGGAGCUAGCCGUCGAAGGUGGGACAAAUGAUUGGGGUGAAGUC